This is a long non-coding RNA of Ailuropoda melanoleuca (giant panda), 1160 nucleotides long. RefSeq lists it as uncharacterized. The record is from RefSeq and is a predicted model, not a curated record. Lineage: Eukaryota; Metazoa; Chordata; Mammalia; Carnivora; Ursidae. The transcript is spliced from 3 exons.
CCCUUUUGUUUAGAAAAACUGCCCUUUCCCCGUUCUGUGUGCCUCCCAGAGAGUGGCCAGUGGCAGGACCCUGCCUCUCCCCCAGUCCCUGUGGGCUGCCUGCAGAGAUGGACAAGUAACCCAGGCUGAGCUGAUCAGAUCUUGUCCCCUUGGAAUUUGACUUCUGAAUGAUGGCACGAGGAAGAGAAGGUAGGUGGAGUCACCUGACAGUAUUACCCUGAAAGAGAAAGUCCCUGGGUUCCUGUCCCCCGAGUCACUCUUCCUAUCCUUCCCAAUGCCUGCUUGUUCAAGUUUUCACUCACUGAGCUACCAGUGUUUUUCAAAUAAAUGCCCAUUUCUUGCUUAAGUGGGUCAGAGCCAGUUUCUGUGGCUUGCACCUAAAAAGGCUAACUCAUGUUUUCUGGUUUACACCUAUCAGGCCUCCUGUGAUUUCCUGGAUCCUCGAAUGGCCAGACGGUAACAGAGUGAGUCAUGGGUCUCCGAGAAGGACUCCGGAAUAUUGUCCCCUGGGUACACAGGCCACAAGGUGAUACAGAAGGCUGACAACUGGCACUCAGACCCAGGUGAAAGGUCAGAUGGGGCACUCCAAGAGACAGCUUCAAGGCUCUAUAAAGUCAUGAGACGGCUGCCGACACCUACAGAGCAGCAUCCCCUAGGUUCAAGUCCAGUGAGAAAGAGAACACCUCUCUUCCCAAAGUCCCAGGCUUCCUCUUGGACCAGUUCCCACCGAUGUCUGUGUGCAUCCCACCGUGUGUUUGCUGAACCUUAGGACCCAGUGCCACCCAUUCCAGAACAUUCUACCACCAGGAGUAGCUGGUACUUGGCUGGCUUUGGACUUCACGGAGGUGGGGUUAUUCAGAGUUUUUGAGGAGGGCCCCGUGCAGACUAAAAGCAAGAGACACCUUCCCGGACUUCUCUCUCCGAAAGAGGGGGUUAUUAGAAGUUUCUGGGUGUUAGGGAGAAAGAUGCCUAAGGAUUAGAAGCAUUUAUUCUCAGGUUCUCACCUGAGGGCUUUGCUCCGCCAAUGCACCUUGGCAGUUUCUUCCAGAUCAACAGUAAUGCCCUUUGUUUCAUGAUGACUUCAUUAUUGUAUCUCAGAGGCCAGGCUGGUCGGACUAUAUCUUCAGUGCUUUCCUUUCCAGCUCAACUAGUCAUUAAGA